GGGAUACUGGCAUAACGGAAAUGCAUCCCCCUUGAAAAGAGCAUUGAAACCAGUGCUUUUUUCAAGGGGAAGAUCGAGGUUCGAAUCCUUGGUAUCCCUCCA
This 102-nucleotide transfer RNA is filed under the name Ruminococcaceae bacterium P7. Its description in RNAcentral is "tRNA_Pseudo_TGA". It matches the Rfam family "tRNA". From Rfam's summary of the family: Transfer RNA (tRNA) molecules are approximately 80 nucleotides in length. Their secondary structure includes four short double-helical elements and three loops (D, anti-codon, and T loops). The record is from RNAcentral. Lineage: Bacteria; Bacillati; Bacillota; Clostridia; Eubacteriales; Oscillospiraceae.